ACUAGUACUAGUGGUGUUACCACUAGUAACACCAGAAUACAAGAUAAAGAUGUUUCCAUUUGAUAUGCAAAGCUGUUUCCCUGUAUAGAGAUGACCGUAGAUAACGCAAAUAAUGCUUUGACCGUUCCAUGAACCCGGCUUGAAGUGUGAAAACGUCUUCCUAAAAGAUGCAAAAUAGCGCAAAUACUGCACUGUUCUGCUUUAAGGUGUGAAAAUGUCUUCCUGAAAAGCGCUUAGUAGCGCAAAGGACGCACAAACAUGCUUUGAUCAAGUUUCCAUACCGAGACUGUGAUCGACACAAGAUAAACCCCAGUGACGCACAUUGCUUCUGCAAAAGAAAGUAUAUAAG
Molecule: long non-coding RNA, 349 nt
Organism: Gasterosteus aculeatus aculeatus (three-spined stickleback)
Lineage: Eukaryota; Metazoa; Chordata; Actinopteri; Perciformes; Gasterosteidae
Source: Ensembl